Humulus lupulus (European hop) is the source of this 169-nucleotide long non-coding RNA. RefSeq lists it as uncharacterized. The transcript has 3 exons. The record is from RefSeq and is a predicted model, not a curated record. Lineage: Eukaryota; Viridiplantae; Streptophyta; Magnoliopsida; Rosales; Cannabaceae.
ACCUAGAUCUGUGGGUUUUGUCUCCAAAUCUGGUGGAAUGUCUAAUGAGAUGUACAAUACCAUAGCUCGUGUAACAGAUGGAAUCUAUGAAGGCAUUGCUAUUGGAGGUGAUGUGUUUCCGGGCUCCACUCUUUUUGAUCAUGUUCUGCAGUUUAACAAUAUUCCAUAG